CAGCUCUCCGAGUGGUAGGGAUGAUUAUUGGGCUUAAAGCGUCCGUAGCCUGCUUAGCAAGUCUCCUGUUAAAUUCAGCGACCUAAUCGUUGAGCCGCGGGAGAUACUACUAGGCUAGGAGGCGGGAGAGGUCGACGGUACUUCUGGGGUAGGGGUGAAAUCCUAUAAUCCCAGGAGGACCACCAGUGGCGAAGGCUGUCGACUAGAACGCGCUCGACGGUGAGGGACGAAAGCUGGGGGAGCGAACCGGAUUAGAUACCCGAGUAGUCC
Molecule: ribosomal RNA, 270 nt
Filed under: uncultured archaeon
Lineage: Archaea
Description: partial 16S ribosomal RNA
Rfam family: Archaeal small subunit ribosomal RNA
Source: RNAcentral